AACGAACGCUGGCGGCAUGCCUAACACAUGCAAGUCGAACGAGACCUUCGGGUCUAGUGGCGCACGGGUGCGUAACGCGUGGGAACCUGCCCUUAGGUUCGGAAUAACUCCCCGAAAGGGGUGCUAAUACCGGAUAAUGUCUUCGGACCAAAGAUUUAUCGCAUUUGGAUGGGCCCGCGUUGGAUUAGCUAGUUGGUAGGGUAAAAGCCUACCAAGGCGACGAUCCAUAGCUGGUCUGAGAGGAUGAGCAGCCACACUGGGACUGGGACACGGCCCAGACUCCUACGGGAGGCAGCAGUGGGGAAUAUUGGACAAUGGGCGAAAGCCUGAUCCAGCAAUGCCGCGUGAGUGAUGAAGGCCUGAGGGUUGUAAAGCUCUUUUACCCGGGAUGAUAAUGACAGUACCGGGAGAAUAAGCUCCGGCUAACUCCGUG
Molecule: ribosomal RNA, 433 nt
Filed under: uncultured bacterium
Lineage: Bacteria
Description: partial 16S ribosomal RNA
Rfam family: Bacterial small subunit ribosomal RNA
Source: RNAcentral